RNAcentral lists this ribosomal RNA (465 nucleotides) under uncultured bacterium. RNAcentral describes it as "partial 16S ribosomal RNA". It matches the Rfam family "Bacterial small subunit ribosomal RNA", at positions 338 to 795 of the family's 1533-position model. The record is from RNAcentral.
CCUACGGGGGGCAGCAGUGGGGAAUAUUGCGCAAUGGGCGAAAGCCUGACGCAGCGACGCCGCGUGAGGGAUGAAGGUCUUCGGAUCGUAAACCUCUGUCAGCAGGGAAGAACGGUCACUGUGCUAAUCAGCAGUGAAUUGACGGUACCUGCAAAGGAAGCACCGGCUAACUCCGUGCCAGCAGCCGCGGUAAUACGGAGGGUGCGAUCGUUAAUGGGAAUUACUGGGCGUAAAGCGCUCGUAGGCGGUAUGUCAAGUCAAGGGGGAAAUCCCCGCGCUCAACGUGGGAACUGCCUUUGAAACUGGCAAACUGGAGUGUGUGAGAGGAUAGUGGAAUUCCAGGUGCAGGAGUGAAAUCCGUAGAUAUCUGGAGGAACAUCAGUGGCGAAGGCGACUAUCUGGCACAUAACUGACGCUGAGGAGCGAAAGCGUGGGUAGCAAACAGGAUUAGAUACCCCUGUAGUC